UAUAUACAGACUUAAACGUGACUGAACUUGUGAAAAAUGGAAUUUCAUAUCUUUAGUGGGACACGUUUUUGUCGCAAGGUGCAGCUUAUCUGAAUUUCAUAUAAUUAAUGACACAAAUAUAACAUUAAGUCAGAAUAAAUGUUUUGCAAGACAGUGUUUAUUUGAAUUUCGACAGUGGCACAGUCUAUGUUGCAAACUGUCGAAAGGGACACUGUAUGAAAUCUACACAAAACAGCAAUGGCACUGCCUGUAAAAGCGAUUGUGUUCCGGUAAUGUACCGAAUAGGCAGCGCACUCGCUGCUCGACCGCAUGUACGCAAGCAUCAUCUGGUGACCUCCAUUGCAAAUCCAGCAAUCUACAACUCACAGAGGAAAGGAGGCCAUGGUGGGGGAUCUUGCCUUUUGAUUAAGGCAGACGAUCCUAAAAAGACCCAAGCCUGUCGUGUAAGAUCAACUCAUGGAAGGGCUUAAGAAAGAUCAUGUUUACAACACAAAAGCCUCACUUCGAGUAAAUUUAAACAAGACUGUUCAAAUGCAUUAUGGUUAUAUACGUUGUACUUAUUUAUUGUGUACUUGCUAUUAAAUUUCAAUCAAAAAAUGUACAUAAUGUGUGCAUUUAUUGCAAUAAUGUUAUGUCAUAUUGAGUGAAUAUGUCUUGAUGAGAGAUUUAUUUGAAUAUACGUAUAUUUUUAAGAAUAUCGGAACAGAUUACGUCUAACGAGAUACCUGUUUUUUAUGUUUAUAUAUUUCUUGUUGUAAUCACUCCCUCUUAACGAGCACAGUGUGAUAUGGUCCUUUUUUAUGGCUGAGCGCAUACAUAAGAAAAACAGAUGAUUGCAAUGUGAACAUCCACUAGUAUCACACAUAUACCAAGAGGACCUAAGAACACUAGUAAGGAUAUAAUACUAUUUCCAGUGUAGCUUCGUCAGACCUUCCCCAGCUACCUUGAUGAGCUGUUGUAAAAACCAUUAUACAUAUUAUGAGGGCGGUCCAAUGUCCACACCCUUUAAAGUUCAAACGGCAUGCUGUUUAAAGGCGUUUUGUUUGUGAAGUAGUCCAGAACAUACGUUACUGAAAAUAUAUCUUAUGGUUUAUUUUGUAUGUGUAAAUUUGCCAAUAUUGUGUCUACUCUAAUAAACUCAUUGGAAAUAUAUUGACAAUUGUGCAUGUG
Molecule: long non-coding RNA, 1170 nt
Organism: Dreissena polymorpha
Lineage: Eukaryota; Metazoa; Mollusca; Bivalvia; Myida; Dreissenidae
Exons: 3
Source: RefSeq, a predicted model, not a curated record